RNAcentral lists this ribosomal RNA (682 nucleotides) under Salmonella enterica. RNAcentral's name for it is "partial 23S ribosomal RNA". It matches the Rfam family "Bacterial large subunit ribosomal RNA", at positions 2261 to 2925 of the family's 2925-position model. Lineage: Bacteria; Pseudomonadati; Pseudomonadota; Gammaproteobacteria; Enterobacterales; Enterobacteriaceae. The record is from RNAcentral.
GUGGGUAGUUUGACUGGGGCGGUCUCCUCCUAAAGAGUAACGGAGGAGCACGAAGGUUGGCUAAUCCUGGUCGGACAUCAGGAGGUUAGUGCAAUGGCAUAAGCCAGCUUGACUGCGAGCGUGACGGCGCGAGCAGGUGCGAAAGCAGGUCAUAGUGAUCCGGUGGUUCUGAAUGGAAGGGCCAUCGCUCAACGGAUAAAAGGUACUCCGGGGAUAACAGGCUGAUACCGCCCAAGAGUUCAUAUCGACGGCGGUGUUUGGCACCUCGAUGUCGGCUCAUCACAUCCUGGGGCUGAAGUAGGUCCCAAGGGUAUGGCUGUUCGCCAUUUAAAGUGGUACGCGAGCUGGGUUUAGAACGUCGUGAGACAGUUCGGUCCCUAUCUGCCGUGGGCGCUGGAGAACUGAGGGGGGCUGCUCCUAGUACGAGAGGACCGGAGUGGACGCAUCACUGGUGUUCGGGUUGUCAUGCCAAUGGCACUGCCCGGUAGCUAAAUGCGGAAGAGAUAAGUGCUGAAAGCAUCUAAGCACGAAACUUGCCCCGAGAUGAGUUCUCCCUGAGACUUAGAGUCUCCUGAAGGAACGUUGAAGACGACGACGUUGAUAGGCCGGGUGUGUAAGCGCAGCGAUGCGUUGAGCUAACCGGUACUAAUGAACCGUGAGGCUUAACCUUGCAACGCCGAAG